GCGAGUGAAGCGGCAACAGCUCAAAUUUGAAAUCUGGCCCGCAGGGUCCGAGUUGUAAUUUGUAGAGGAUGCUUUUGGCGCGGUGCCUUCUGAGUUCCCUGGAACGGGACGCCACAGAGGGUGAGAGCCCCGUAUAGUCGGACACCAAGCCUCUGUAAAGCUCCUUCGACGAGUCGAGUAGUUUGGGAAUGCUGCUCAAAAUGGGAGGUAAAUCUCUUCUAAAGCUAAAUACAGGCUAGAGACCGAUAGCGCACAAGUAGAGUGAUCGAAAGAUGAAAAGCACUUUGAAAAGAGGGUUAAAAAGCACGUGAAAUUGUUGAAAGGGAAGCGCUUGUGACCAGACUUGCGCCCGGUUGAUCAUCCAGCGUUCUCGUUGGUGCACUCUGCCGGGCUCAGGCCAGCAUCGGUUCUUGCGGGGGGAUAAAAGCUCUGGGAAUGUAGCUCCCUCGGGAGUGUUAUAGCCCGCUGCAGAAUACCCCCGCGGGGACCGAGGUACGCGUUCCGCAAGGAUGCUGGCGUAAUGGUCACCAGCGACCC
Molecule: ribosomal RNA, 537 nt
Filed under: Sordariales sp.
Lineage: Eukaryota; Fungi; Ascomycota; Sordariomycetes; Sordariales
Description: partial large subunit ribosomal RNA
Rfam family: Eukaryotic large subunit ribosomal RNA
Source: RNAcentral